RNAcentral lists this ribosomal RNA (433 nucleotides) under uncultured Anaerostipes sp. RNAcentral's name for it is "partial 16S ribosomal RNA". It matches the Rfam family "Bacterial small subunit ribosomal RNA", at positions 341 to 792 of the family's 1533-position model. The record is from RNAcentral. Lineage: Bacteria; Bacillati; Bacillota; Clostridia; Lachnospirales; Lachnospiraceae.
ACGGGAGGCAGCAGUGGGGAAUAUUGCACAAUGGGGGAAACCCUGAUGCAGCGACGCCGCGUGAGUGAAGAAGUAUUUCGGUAUGUAAAGCUCUAUCAGCAAGGAAGAAAAUGACGGUACUUGACUAAGCAGCCCCGGCUAACUACGUGCCAGCAGCCGCGGUAAUACGUAGGGGGCAAGCGUUAUCCGGAAUUACUGGGUGUAAAGGGUGCGCAGGCGGCACUUUAAGUCCGUGGUGAAAACCAGGAGCUCAACUCCUGACUUGCCAUGGAAACUGGAGAGCUAGAGUACAGGAGAGGAAAGCGGAAUUUCUAGUGUAGCGGUGAAAUGCGUAGAUAUUAGGAAGAACACCGGAGGCGAAGGCGGCUUUCUGGACUGAAACUGACGCUCAGGCACGAAAGCGUGGGGAGCAAACAGGAUUAGAUACCCGGUA